Long non-coding RNA from Propithecus coquereli (Coquerel's sifaka), 444 nucleotides. RefSeq lists it as uncharacterized. The transcript is spliced from 3 exons. Lineage: Eukaryota; Metazoa; Chordata; Mammalia; Primates; Indriidae. The record is from RefSeq and is a predicted model, not a curated record.
AGUGGGCGGGGUCUCGCUGAGGACCCCGGGCUGGGCGCCGCCGCCGGUUCGUCUCCGUUUCCCUGAGCCGCCUCCUUUCAACCUUGUCCACCGGUUGGCGUGGCCUUUGGUGCAGCGGCGGCGGCUCCCGUUCCUGCCCAGCUCUCUCCCCUCCUUUCCUCCCCUCCAGAUCCUGGAGUUCGCCCGUCAUGGCUUUACUCACUGCGGCCGCCCGCCUCUUGGGAGCCAAGGAGCUGACCUAUUGAGUGAGGUGGACUGCCUGAUUCACCUGACAGCUGCUGUUCCAGUAGAGUGACUCUACAGGUGGCAUGCAACCAGAAGCCAAAGCUCAGCUGCCACACCUCCAAGGCUGAGGGAGGAGCUGAGAGGUAGAAGUUCAGGAAUGACUCAGAGAAUGCAUCCUGUGUUGUUUUUGCUGCCCGGCAUGCGAGUGCUUCCUCCACG